GACGUAGGGGCGGAGCGUUGUCCGGAAUUACUGGGCGGUAAAGGGACGCGUAGGCGGUCAAUCAAGUCAGGUGUAAAAGAACCCCGGGCCUCAACCCCGGGGGUAGGCACCUGAAACUAGGUUGGGCUAGAGGGCAGGAGAGGGGAGUGGAAUUCCCGGUGUAGCGGUGAAAUGCGUAGAUAUCGGGAGGAAUACCAGUGGCGAAGGCGACUCUCUGGACUGGCCCUGACGCUGAGGCGCGAAAGCGUGGGGAGCGAACAGGAUUAGAUACCCCCGUAGU
RNAcentral lists this ribosomal RNA (280 nucleotides) under uncultured bacterium. RNAcentral's name for it is "partial 16S ribosomal RNA". It matches the Rfam family "Bacterial small subunit ribosomal RNA", at positions 524 to 794 of the family's 1533-position model. The record is from RNAcentral.